GCGGCCGUAGCUCAACUGGAUAGAGCAUCGGUCUUCGGAACCGAGGGUUGAGGGUUCGAAUCCUUCCGGCCGCGCCA
RNAcentral lists this transfer RNA (77 nucleotides) under Candidatus Doudnaibacteriota bacterium. RNAcentral describes it as "Candidatus Doudnabacteria bacterium tRNA-Arg". It matches the Rfam family "tRNA". Rfam says of the family: Transfer RNA (tRNA) molecules are approximately 80 nucleotides in length. Their secondary structure includes four short double-helical elements and three loops (D, anti-codon, and T loops). Lineage: Bacteria; Candidatus Doudnaibacteriota. The record is from RNAcentral.